Molecule: long non-coding RNA, 273 nt
Filed under: Manihot esculenta (cassava)
Lineage: Eukaryota; Viridiplantae; Streptophyta; Magnoliopsida; Malpighiales; Euphorbiaceae
Description: long non-coding RNA (MESC_LNC007067)
Source: RNAcentral
CAUUAAAUUUAAAAUAAAUUCAUAAUAUUUAACAAUGGUUAUAAAAUUUAAAAUAAAUCCAUAAUACUUAACAAUGUUCAUAAAAUUUAAAACUAAUCUAUGAAUUUGUUGAACCAUCUGAUAGAUGCUAUCUUCUUUCAUUUUGAUCCAUGUCUUCUUUCAUUUUGAUCCGGUUUUGCUCUAAUAUUUGUUCAACCUCCUCUAAAGAAAACAUAGUUUGAAAAGGUCAUCCAGAAUGAGCUCAUUCAUAGAGAGAUGCUGGUUAUGUCCUCU